RNAcentral lists this ribosomal RNA (406 nucleotides) under uncultured bacterium. RNAcentral describes it as "partial 16S ribosomal RNA". It matches the Rfam family "Bacterial small subunit ribosomal RNA", at positions 28 to 526 of the family's 1533-position model. The record is from RNAcentral.
GAUGAACGCUAGCUACAGGCUUAACACAUGCAAGUCGAGGGACCGGCGCACGGGUGAGUAACACGUAUCCAACCUGCCCUUUACUCGGGGAUAGCCUUUCGAAAGACAGAUUAAUACACGAUAUAACGGAUGGGGAUGCGUUCCAUUAGGUUGUUGGUGAGGUAACGACUGACCAAGCCUUCGAUGGAUAGGGGUUCUGAGAGCAACGGCACCCACAUGUGAACUGAGACACGGGCCAAACUCCUACGGGAGGCAGCAGUGAGGAAGAUUGGUCAAUGGGCGCUAGCCUGAACCAGCCAAGUAGCGUGAAGGAUGAAGGCUUAUGGGUCGUAAACUUCUUUUAUAUAAGAAUAUGUAUUAUAUGAAUAAGGAGCGGCUAACUACGUGCCAGCAGCGGCGGUAAUUC